RNAcentral lists this long non-coding RNA (494 nucleotides) under Brassica napus (rape). RNAcentral's name for it is "long non-coding RNA (BNAP_LNC020173)". Lineage: Eukaryota; Viridiplantae; Streptophyta; Magnoliopsida; Brassicales; Brassicaceae. The record is from RNAcentral.
GAGUUCAAUCAAGUUUCAAACAAGAAAUAAAUCUUCAGUCCGAAUCUUUUUGGACAAAAUAAUUAAAUCAUAAUGUUAUAAUUAAAAUUAUAAUACAUGAUUUCUUCAAUAAAUUAAAUUUCAAACACACUCACGGUACGGACAUAAUGGUCAUUGUAAUAUUUGAAAAUUAAACCACAACGAGCAAUGAUCAUCACACUUGGAGUACAGCCAUUAUUCACCUAAUAUAAGUCAAAUAAGGUUUAUAUUACAUAAUUACUACUUUUGGGAAUGAACUAAAUCAACUAAAAGUUAACAGAAUUCAACAUAAAAUUAAAUCGACAAAAAUGAUAACAAUAGCAAGUUACUUGGUAUAGAUUAUUGACUUAGGUGAUUAAAUGCUAAUCUAAAAUGUUAAUCCAAGCAUACAAAUGUCAAUCCUUAGGGCUAGUAUCACUAACUUAUGCUAACACACUUCCAUGGUAAUAAUUAUAUAUAAUUAUACAAUUGACAUA